RNAcentral lists this ribosomal RNA (253 nucleotides) under uncultured bacterium. RNAcentral's name for it is "partial 16S ribosomal RNA". It matches the Rfam family "Bacterial small subunit ribosomal RNA", at positions 524 to 776 of the family's 1533-position model. The record is from RNAcentral.
UACGGAGGGUGCAAGCGUUAUCCGGAUUUACUGGGUUUAAAGGGUGCGUAGGCGGCUUUUUAAGUCAGUGGUGAAAUCCUAGUGCUUAACACUAGAACGGCCGCUGAUACUGGGAGGCUUGAGUCAAGGAGGGGUAAGCAGAAUUUAUGGUGUAGCAGUGAAAUGCUUAGAUACCAUAAGGAAUACCAAUAGCGAAGGCAGCUUACUGGCCUUGUACUGACGCUGAGGCACGAAAGCGUGGGGAGCAAACAGG